Molecule: ribosomal RNA, 379 nt
Filed under: uncultured bacterium
Lineage: Bacteria
Description: bacterial SSU rRNA
Rfam family: Bacterial small subunit ribosomal RNA
Source: RNAcentral
AUUAAACGCUGGCGGCAUGCCUUACACAUGCAAGUCGAACGGCAGCACGGGGGCAACCCUGGUGGCGAGUGGCGGACGGGUGAGUAAAGCAUCGGAACGUAUCCUGGAGUGGGGGAUAACGUAGCGAAAGUUACGCUAAUACCGCAUAUUCUGUGAGCAGGAAAGCAGGGGAUCACAAGACCUUGCGCUCUGGGAGCGGCCGAUGUCGGAUUAGCUAGUUGGUGGGGUAAAGGCCUACCAAGGCGACGAUCCGUAGCGGGUCUGAGAGGAUGAUCCGCCACACUGGGACUGAGACACGGCCCAGACUCCUACGGGAGGCAGCAGUGGGGAAUUUUGGACAAUGGGCGCAAGCCUGAUCCAGCCAUGCCGCGUGAGUGAA